Amphiprion ocellaris (clown anemonefish) is the source of this 1295-nucleotide long non-coding RNA. RefSeq lists it as uncharacterized. The transcript is spliced from 3 exons. Lineage: Eukaryota; Metazoa; Chordata; Actinopteri; Pomacentridae. The record is from RefSeq and is a predicted model, not a curated record.
UUCUAUGGAGGAGGCAGCAGAGACACUGCUCUCCUCGUUUGGAUUAAUUCUGAUAUAAUAACUGUUCGUUUAUUUAUCGGUGGAGCAGCAGAACAUUUUCCACAGACAGUUUUCCUGCCCGUUGGCUUGUUUUAACCAGUUUUCUACCUUCGGCUGAUUCUACCAGCAGACACUGAAAGGACUCUGAUAGUUCGAGUGAAAGCAGCAGUUCCUCCUUAAGGUCAGAGAUUGCAGCAUCUGAGGGCCUCUUCAAAAGAAGACGUAGUUGAUGAAGGCGUUCUGGAGCAGGACCAGAAAGACCACGACCAAGCAGCCUUGAGAUCUUAGGCAGCAUCUCCCUCAGACAUCCACCAACCACUGGACCACAUCUCCAAAGUUCUGCCAGGCCAGCUCAGCUUCCCCUCAGAAGAAGUUCCACCAGAUGAAGGAGCCUUUUGAGAGGCAGCCGGCAUCGUGAUUGGACUGUACUUUGGUCUGUUCCAAUCCAGCUUCAGCUCCAGAGACGGCAGGCAGGACGAGUCAACGGAGGCCGGGUGGACGAAGGCAUGCAGCUGAGUACAAUCCAGAAAACAACAGAGGAGGAGUGCAGCGGUACAAUAUACAAUAUACAUCGUAUAUUGUACAAAUAACAAGUCAAAGGAAAGAGACAUACAUUGUAGAAUUGUAGUAAUUGUGGGCUGACUGAUUUACUGAUUAUCAGUAUUUUAUUUUUUACUGAUUUACGGUAAUAAAUACAUUUAAACAUGGCGCUACUUUGGCUCUGAACCUUAAUCUACCUGUGGUCGCUCUGUCUUCUGGAGUGAUUUGAUUGGUUAUACGUCACGAAUAAAACUCCUUUAACUUAACAUCUGUAAACAAAACAAAAACGUAUCAACAAAGUUUCCUGUUAGAGUUUUUCUUCUAAGUUUAACUCCAAGAUUUUAAUUACUUUCAUGUACUGCAAAUGAAUAUCGACUCCAAAUGUCUCAGUAAUAAUCAUUAUCAGCCUUAAAAACCCACAAAACACCCCUCUAUACUCGACCACACUUAGUACAGUCCGGUUCCCCCUUCUAUAAAUCUGCUUGGAAUCGUCCACUUCCUGUUUGUCAAAGUGGCCUUCUACCUGGACAGGUUUUGUUGGAGCUCAUGCAGCAAACAUUUUGGGUAACUGCACUUUAAUAUGGAUGAAUGACACUGAAUUAGAGUGUGUUUUAAUGAGACUGAGUUAAGAUGUGUAGCUCUGUCAUUAAAUAGUAAAUUAUUUCUCUGAUUUCACAGAGAAAAGUCUGAAAUGUUUGCUAGGUUAGCGUCCCACA